Molecule: ribosomal RNA, 582 nt
Filed under: uncultured Pseudomonas sp.
Lineage: Bacteria; Pseudomonadati; Pseudomonadota; Gammaproteobacteria; Pseudomonadales; Pseudomonadaceae
Description: bacterial SSU rRNA
Rfam family: Bacterial small subunit ribosomal RNA
Source: RNAcentral
ACGGGUGAGUAAUGCCUAGGAAUCUGCCUGGUAGUGGGGGACAACGUUUCGAAAGGAACGCUAAUACCGCAUAUGUCCUACGGGAGAAAGCAGGGGACCUUCGGGCCUUGCGCUAUCAGAUGAGCCUAGGUCGGAUUAGCUAGUUGGUGAGGUAAUGGCUCACCAAGGCGACGAUCCGUAACUGGUCUGAGAGGAUGAUCAGUCACACUGGAACUGAGACACGGUCCAGACUCCUACGGGAGGCAGCAGUGGGGAAUAUUGGACAAUGGGCGAAAGCCUGAUCCAGCCAUGCCGCGUGUGUGAAGAAGGUCUUCGGAUUGUAAAGCACUUUAAGUUGGGAGGAAGGGUUGUAGAUUAAUACUCUGCAAUUUUGACGUUACCGACAGAAUAAGCACCGGCUAACUCUGUGCCAGCAGCCGCGGUAAUACAGAGGGUGCAAGCGUUAAUCGGAAUUACUGGGCGUAAAGCGCGCGUAGGUGGUUUGUUAAGUUGGAUGUGAAAUCCCCGGGCUCAACCUGGGAACUGCAUCCAAAACUGGCAAGCUAGAGUAUGGUAGAGGGUGGUGGAAUUUCCUGUGUAGCG